AAAUAAAAAAAAUAAUAUGUGUAGUAAUUCUCCUAAAACAAGUCCUAAAUAGAAAACCUAAAAUCCCUACAAAUAUUUUAAAAUCUGUACAAAAGAAACUCCAAAAUAAAAAAGAGUUUUUACACCCCAUACUAAAAUUUCUAACUUUUUUACUUUUUUAUUACGGGACGAUUUUUUUUCUUCAAAAAUACUGUGUAUUUUUUUCAAACAUAUUAUGUAAAUUUUAUACUGUGUACUGUGUUAAGAGUGGUUAUUUAGUUGUUCUAUUGUUGCUUUAAUUAUUCUAUUAUGUUAUUUUACAGUUGUUUUGUAUAAAAAAAAAGUAUUUUUGUAAAAAUUUCAUAUGACAGUAAAAUUAUAAAUGUUUUUGUCCAAAAUUUAUUUAUUUAUUUUUUUUAGAAAAUUACAUUGUAUACCCAAUUUACUUAACUUAUUUGAAUUUUUACCUCCAUUUUCAUAUUUUUUAGAUAUACCCACUUUUAUGGAUGAUGUCCCCAUUAGAUCCCUUAGGUUAUGUAAAUUAUAUGCUAGACUUAAGUAAAGAGUGAGGGUAUAUUAAGCAAUUUACUCAAAAAAAGUGGGUAUAUUUUAAUAAAAAAAUAAUAUAAGGGUAUUUUUGAUUAAUGAAUACAAAAAAAGAGGUAUUUUUCAACUUACCCUUUUUGUUUUGGUAAAAAUCCCAAAUAAAAAGAGAAAUUUACACAGUUUACUGUGUUUUCCCAUUUUCUUUCUUUUAUACUGUUACACGCCCAAAAUAACUUUUAUACUGUUUUUUUUUUUUUUUUUUGUUUUUUUUUUCGGCUGCCAACAAUUUUAUGUUAUUGUUUUGUUUUUUUUUUUAGAUUGAUUGGGACAUGGGCUCAAUUAUUUAUUUAAUUUUUUAUUUUAAUGGAUAUAAAAGUUAUUAUUUAUUAUUUUUAAUAUUUAAUAAUUAUUAUUUUUGAGAUAAUUUAAUAAUUAUUAUUUUGAUGAAAAUGUUGAUGGGAUGUGUCAUAAAAGUGACAUGUUUUACUUUUUCUUUUAUUUAAAUAAAUUUAAAAAUCACACCCCAUGUCUCAUUCUUUUUUUUUUAUUUAAAUAGAUUUAAAAAUCCCACUCCCAUUUCUCACUAUUCAUCUUCUUCAUCAUCUUUAUCUUCUAGCUUUUCAAAUAAAUCUCACCCCCAUGUUCUAAUAUUCAUCUUCUUCUUCAAGUUUUUUUUUUCUUCAUCUUUACCGUUGUUUUAGUAUUGUUCUACUGUUGUUUUUCAUGAUUUUUAUUUUUUUUUUCAUGUUCAGUUCUUCUUCUUCAUCUUCUUUUCUUUUUUUUUUUUUUUUUUUUUUUUUAAAUUUUUUGAAGUUCUUAGUUAUGUUUUUUUUUGAAAAUAUAAGAGUUAGUGUGGUUUUUUUUUGUUCUAAUUUUCUAGAACUUUUCUUGCAAAUAUAGUGCAUUUAGUAUUGAGGAUGUGCACAACAUAGUUAAUUUUUGAUCAUUUUUUUCUUUUAUUGUUUUUUUUUGUUUUACUAUUGUUUUAGUAUUGUUUUACUGUUGUUUUUCAUGAUUUAUUUAUUUGAUGCCGAUUUCACUGCCCUUGCUCCAUCUCGCUGGAAUUAAUAGGUAUUUUCUGGGUGUUCUCGUGUUGUUGUGAUGGUUAUGUCUGUGAGUGUGGAAGAUGGAGGCUAUAAAUACAUUUCUUCUUCGUUCUCUUUGGCUAUUUUUGUGGUUUUUUUCUUUUGGUUCUCCUAUAAAUAUAUUUGACGAGCUCACUCACAAGAGAGUUUUGAGGUGUGUGUUUCUUUUAUAUUUUUCUUAGUAGUUAUAUUUGCUUCAUUUGUUUUUGUGUUGUUUCAGUGUUGUUUUAGUAGUUUUUUUUUUUUAUAAUUUUCUAGGAAUAGACUUGCAAAUAUAGUUGAUUUUGCAUCUGGUGUUGAGGUUGUGCAGCAGAUUGUUUGUUUUUUUUAAUCAUUUUUUUCUUUUAUUUUGUUUGAUUGUUUUAGUGUUGUUUUACCGUUGUUUUGCCAUGAUUAUUUAUUGACGUCGAUUUUACUGCUUUUGUUUAUUCUUGUCGGAAUUAAUGGUUAUUUUCCGGUGUCCUGGUGUUGUUGUGGUGGUUAUGUCUGUGAUUGUCAAAGAUGGAGGCCUCAUACUUUUGUUUUGGUAUUGACAGUAUAAAAGAAAAAAAAGGGGAGGACAGUAUAAAUGUUAAUUCUGCCGUGUGACAGUAAAAUUGAAAAAUAUUACCCAAAUCCAAUAUUUUUGUAAAAUGCCCAAUAAAAACCCAAUAAGGAUAACAAAUAAAGUUCGGAAAGCCCAUGUAAUUGGGCCCAGUCUAAAUCCAAAACUAGGGUUCGCUUAUAUAUGCUGCUAUACAUCCACGAACCCCAGGUAGACCGCCAUUCUCAUCUGCUUCGCCAAGACGCAGUUUCCCAAGGGAGAGAGGAUUAGGGUUUAGCUUGUCGUAGCCUCACCAUGAGAGCCAAGUGGAAGAAGAAGCGUAUGAGGAGAUUGAAGAGGAAGCGCCGAAAGAUGAGACAGCGAUCUAAGUGAUAGCAGCACCAGCAGCAUUCGUGGCGGCGGCGACUUCGUUUCCUUCGCCUGAACUCACUGCCGUUGGCGUGUCGGUCUCAUCGGUUUUGAUUGUCGUUUUUUCUAUUUAUUUUAUUUCAGUCUGUGUUAGGAGUAAUUUUGAAGCUUUUUGGUUAUGUUAAUAGCCAGAUUUUUGCUACAUUUGCUAGUCGAAUUUUAUUUUGUUUAAACUCAAAUUUCUUAUGAAUCUAUUAUUAGAUUUUUGCUUUGUUCA
This is a long non-coding RNA of Cannabis sativa, 2779 nucleotides long. RefSeq lists it as uncharacterized. The transcript has 2 exons. The record is from RefSeq and is a predicted model, not a curated record. NCBI's taxonomy places the organism in Eukaryota, Viridiplantae, Streptophyta, Magnoliopsida, Rosales, Cannabaceae.